AAAUACUGAUUCCUGGAUCCCAUCCUCUAAGAAUCAAGGCAUUGGUGAAGGCCAGGAAUCUGCAUUUUAUAAAGAUUCCAAGGUAUUCUGAUACA
RNAcentral lists this microRNA precursor (95 nucleotides) under Tupaia belangeri (northern tree shrew). Its description in RNAcentral is "miRNA (ENSTBEG00000019952.1)". The record is from RNAcentral. Lineage: Eukaryota; Metazoa; Chordata; Mammalia; Scandentia; Tupaiidae.